Molecule: transfer RNA, 82 nt
Filed under: Phaeodactylibacter sp.
Lineage: Bacteria; Pseudomonadati; Bacteroidota; Saprospiria; Saprospirales; Haliscomenobacteraceae
Description: tRNA-Leu
Rfam family: tRNA
About the family: Transfer RNA (tRNA) molecules are approximately 80 nucleotides in length. Their secondary structure includes four short double-helical elements and three loops (D, anti-codon, and T loops).
Source: RNAcentral
GCGGGUGUGGCGGAAUUGGCAGACGCGCCAGAUUUAGGAUCUGGUGCCGCAAGGCGUGGGGGUUCGAGUCCCUCCACCCGCA